UUGUUAACAAAUGAGCAACAUUGUUUGUUUGUCUCUCUCCUAACAAAACUUAUCUUAAAGUUUGGAUAUAAUCUAAGUGAAGCUUACAAUUAUUUAAAAUAGCUCUAAAUUUGGAAUAUGUACUAAAUUUACUAGCAAUGUCGUCAACCACUUGCUUGUAGUCAAGUUCUAUUGACAUUGCCGCUAAAUUCAUGUUGCCAAGCUUAUUGCUUCUUUUAAGCCACAAGUUUCUACUUCUUGAGGUUGUGGUAGGCCUAAAAACAUAGAUGUUUUAGCUGCAAUAUAAUCAUUGUUGUUGCCACUAAGACACAUCCCAACGCCGUAGCGCCCAUCUUCCUUAAAAAUUGUCCCACAGACGUUGCAUUUCAUCUCCCGCACCUUCCGACAUAAUGCUCUAGGACCAUAAGAGAGGGAGACACCACAUCUUCAUCCAAAACUUUAAAGUUUAAAGCAUUAAAUUAAUAAAUCACUUCUCUUAUAAAUUCAACAUUCUUCCUAUUUAUAAUCCAUGUGAGACUUAACCGCUCACACUUGAAAACCAACAAUAUUUAACUUCACUUAUUCUUACGAAAUCAACUUAUAGAUAAAAAGUGUCUCUUUGUAAAUUUUUGGCAUGCCUUCUUUAACUAUAACUAUGUAUGGCUUUAAUUUUUUUCCAAUAAAUAUAAAAAUUCUCUAAUUUUGUAUUCUGAGUAAAGUAUACAUAUUUAAAAGUUGGUUUUCCUUGUCCCACGUUAGUGAAAGAAAAGGGAACCGACUGUAGACAAGAAGAAAAAAUAAUGAAAGACAGAACAGCAAGCAAACCAUGGCCAAGCUUCAUGAUCACCGUCCUUGUCUUAAAGACCUGUUUCAUUCUCAUCAUUGAUCUAACCAUGUGCAUCCGACCCAGCAAUAGGGGUGUGCAUGGUCGGAUAAUUUGACAAUCCAAAUCAUAUCCAAACCAAAAUCAUUUAAUUGGAUUUGAAUUCAUAAUCAUAAUCAAAUUUUAUUAUAAAUCGGUUAUAAAACUGGUUACAAAUUUAGUUACGGAUACAUAACCAGUUAUUUUAACCAAACCAAAUUUAAAAGCGGUCAUUUUUUAAAUCCAAUUUUUAAACUGUUAUUUUUAAAUCUAGAUAAAAAAAAACCGGUUAUUUCUUUUUAAAAAUUGGUUUAGACAAUUUUUUAAAAAAAUCUAUUUUUUUAAAAAAAAAAUCAAAAUAUAUUUAAUAAAAAAUAAAUAAAACCAAGGAAUAAAUUUUGUAAAAGUUCACCGUAAACCAAAAUUUUUGUAAAAGUUGCUUAAAAAAAAUUGUAAAGAAUCCAAAUUUUAUAUAGAAUAAAUUUCUAUACCUUGUACUGUGUCACUGUGUGUAACGUGGAGGUUGUUGUGN
This 1373-nucleotide long non-coding RNA is filed under the name Trifolium pratense (red clover). RNAcentral's name for it is "long non-coding RNA (TPRA_LNC003504)". The record is from RNAcentral. Lineage: Eukaryota; Viridiplantae; Streptophyta; Magnoliopsida; Fabales; Fabaceae.